UGCUGUUCGUGAUAUGAGACAGACAGUUGC
RNAcentral lists this non-coding RNA (30 nucleotides) under Homo sapiens (human). The record is from RNAcentral. Lineage: Eukaryota; Metazoa; Chordata; Mammalia; Primates; Hominidae.